AUAGGUUAAUGAGGCGAACCGGGGGAACUGAAACAUCUAAGUACCCCGAGGAAAAGAAAUCAACCGAGAUUCCCCCAGUAGCGGCGAGCGAACGGGGAGCAGCCCAGAGCCUGAAUCAGUGUGUGUGUUAGUGGAAGCGUCUGGAAAGGCGCGCGAUACAGGGUGACAGCCCCGUACACAAAAAUGCACAUACUGUGAGCUCGAUGAGUAGGGCGGGACACGUGGUAUCCUGUCUGAAUAUGGGGGGACCAUCCUCCAAGGCUAAAUACUCCUGACUGACCGAUAGUGAACCAGUACCGUGAGGGAAAGGCGAAAAGAACCCCGGCGAGGGGAGUGAAAAAGAACCUGAAACCGUGUACGUACAAGCAGUGGGAGCACGCUUCGGCGUGUGACUGCGUACCUUUUGUAUAAUGGGUCAGCGACUUAUAUUCUGUAGCAAGGUUAACCGAAUAGGGGAGCCGAAGGGAAACCGAGUCUUAACUGGGCGUUAAGUUGCAGGGUAUAGACCCGAAACCCGGUGAUCUAGCCAUGGGCAGGUUGAAGGUUGGGUAACACUAACUGGAGGACCGAACCGACUAAUGUUGAAAAAUUAGCGGAUGACUUGUGGCUGGGGGUGAAAGGCCAAUCAAACCGGGAGAUAGCUGGUUCUCCCCGAAAGCU
Molecule: ribosomal RNA, 660 nt
Filed under: Escherichia coli
Lineage: Bacteria; Pseudomonadati; Pseudomonadota; Gammaproteobacteria; Enterobacterales; Enterobacteriaceae
Description: partial 23S ribosomal RNA
Rfam family: Bacterial large subunit ribosomal RNA
Source: RNAcentral